GGCCCUUUCAGCUGACGGCUUUGGAUUGCAUAUGCUGAGUUCCAAGUACCCAUUGUUCAGUGGAAGAAGUUUACUUCCAUAGCAGUUUACUCUUCCUUUUUCAGGAAAAGGGAGAUUUGAUCUCCCUUAAUGGGAACAUCUGAGAGAAUAGGAGGGAACUGAGGAGAAGGUGCUUGAAGUGGCACAAUAUUAGGGACCUGUAAGGUAUCUGGUGAUCACACUUGAGUCAGCGUGGGAUGUGUGUCAGGAGAAAAGGCUCAGGACUGCAGGAGGUAGACAGAGCCCCUGUGGGGUGUUCCAUGUCCUGUGACAUUGCUUAUAAAUUGCAGAAAAGCAGCUGAGCAGUGGAGAUGUUCCCUUGCUGCACAGGCUGCUGCAGGAGCCCUCUGAGAGGAUUGCCGAGUUCUUUCUCAUGGAUGGGGACCUGGAGGAGAUCAGCAGUGAUUCGAUUGUGCACAGAAGAAAUGAAGAGGAGCAGCAGGAGA
Molecule: long non-coding RNA, 485 nt
Organism: Catharus ustulatus (Swainson's thrush)
Lineage: Eukaryota; Metazoa; Chordata; Aves; Passeriformes; Turdidae
Exons: 2
Source: RefSeq, a predicted model, not a curated record